GACCCAGUAGCGAGAAGAAUCGCGCCGGCAGCAUGUACACGGUCAUAGCCACAAGCUUUGAAGUCGGAGAUGAUCCUGGUUCGAAUCCAGGCUGGGUCA
Molecule: non-coding RNA, 99 nt
Organism: Mycena galericulata
Lineage: Eukaryota; Fungi; Basidiomycota; Agaricomycetes; Agaricales; Mycenaceae
Source: the annotation of a GenBank genome assembly